GGGCCUGCGGGGAUGGCUCAGCAGU
RNAcentral lists this unclassified non-coding RNA (25 nucleotides) under Mus musculus (house mouse). Its description in RNAcentral is "oocyte_clustered_small_RNA13582". The record is from RNAcentral. Lineage: Eukaryota; Metazoa; Chordata; Mammalia; Rodentia; Muridae.